GGUCAAGCUAAUAAGGGCUAACGGUGGAUACCUAG
RNAcentral lists this ribosomal RNA (35 nucleotides) under Nostoc sp. 6G4. RNAcentral's name for it is "partial 23S ribosomal RNA". Lineage: Bacteria; Bacillati; Cyanobacteriota; Cyanophyceae; Nostocales; Nostocaceae. The record is from RNAcentral.